Molecule: ribosomal RNA, 326 nt
Filed under: uncultured eukaryote
Lineage: Eukaryota
Description: partial 18S ribosomal RNA
Rfam family: Eukaryotic small subunit ribosomal RNA
Source: RNAcentral
CCCUUAGAUGUUCUGGGCUGCACGCGCGCUACACUGACACUAUCAACGAGUGCUCCUGGUUUGAAAGGAUCGGGUAAUCUUUUGAAAUGGUGUCGUGAUGGGGAUAGAUCAUUGCAAUUAUUAAUCUUCAACGAGGAAUGCCUAGUAAGCGCAAGUCAUCAGCUUGCGUUGAUUACGUCCCUGCCCUUUGUACACACCGCCCGUCGCUCCUACCGAUUGAAUGGUCCGGUGAAGCGUUUGGACUAUGGUUUUCUGAUGGUCCGCCGUUGGAUUACCGUGGGAAGUUCGUUAAACCUUAUCAUUUAGAGGAAGGAGAAGUCGUAACA